AAAAAAAAAAAAAAAAAAUCCAGUGCGCCUUGUCUCCUUAUCCUAAGUAUGAAGUGAAAGUGUAUACAGUAAGUUCUAAGAAGAAUAUUAAAAUCAGUUGGUGAUCAUCCUUUCCUCCCACCACCCCAAGUCCAAGAACUUGCAGUAGCGUCAACAAAUAUUACAGCAUCUGGGAACCUUGAACACCGAAUAACAUGACAAAAUUUUAAUGAAAAAUGCUACCUCUAGCCCUCAUAUUUGCAGAGGUUCUCAAAUCCCAUGUAUUCGUUAUGCUGUAUCUUCCUGAUCAUGUUCGAUAUGCCAACACCACCUAGUGAAAUUGCACUAACAAAUAUGGUGAAAGCUAGGAUGAAGAUGAUAAGUGAUGCCCUUCCAAACAUAAUGAUCAACCUUCUCACAAUGUGCUGCCCUAUUAAGGCAGCAAGUGUAGCCACAGCUACAAAGUAAAGAGCAUAAGGAACUGGAAAACGUUUCAGAAGGUAGUAUUCUACAACAGACAUGGAUGAGGAGAAAGUCAUUGCAAAAGUGGCUGUUGCACUUGAUACCUGCAUGGAAGUCAUUAUGCUGUUAAAACGAGAAAAUCACAAUGAGGAAACUUUUGCCUUUUAUUUGGCCAUGUCAAUUGAUUCAUCCUUCAAGUAAGAAACAAGGUAAAUCCCCACAAGUUUUCAGCAGCUUUUCUAAUGUUGUCCAUGUAAUCAUGUUGAUCACAUUCACAUAACUUUUAUCAGACUUCCCAAAUUUGUCUAGGGUACUCAACCUCGUGCAGUUGCUUAUAUCAGAACUGGCUCACCUGAGGAGGGAUUCCCAACUCCAAAAAUAGUGGACCCAUAAUGAAUCCUCCACCUAGUCCAAGCAGCCCACCAACUACUCCAGCCAGUACACCACAGGCACUGUAAAGUACAAGCUGAUGAACUUUGAAAUUUGUGCCUUCAUCUCCCUUGGAUGCUAUGAUUCUCCGUCCUUUGUAAAGGCUUACUGCCUCGUAUAGUGUCACCGCAACAGAAACUGGAAUCUGCACAACAUGGAAUGGACACACCAAACCAGAUUUCAGAGAAUGCUUUGGGUUUGAAAAAUAAGAUUUUAAUGCAUUGUUUCUCAGAUCCUAAAUCUCAAUCAUGCAAGACCACCCCUAGUUGGCUAGCUUUCUCUAUCUCUCACACAGCAGAACAUGGUAUGCGCAUACAAGCAGAAACUCAAACGUGCGUGAACACAAUAAACAGAGAUUAUUAUUUCUUGUAUCAAUUGAACGUACCUGUAACAAGUUCACUAUCCAGUAUUCUGUUGAACAAGUAGUCAUAUGAUUCUGUUUCACAAAACUCAACAUUUCUUAUCACACAGCCCUUGUUAUAGUAUAUAAAUGGCAUAAAGCAAGUAUUGAAUGACAAAGCAUAGAAUUAAAACCUUUGAAAUCUGCAAUGCAAGGAAUGCAACCCAGACAAAAACAAGAAGCCCAAGUUCCUUCCAGCACACAUUCUCAAGAAUAGUAACCUCUGCUUUGUUAGUGUCCUUUUCAGGGCCACUAGGAAGAGGCUUGUAUUCCACUUCCCCAUCUCCUAUACCAUUUGAUUCUAAACGCUUAGCAUCCUCCUGUUUCAUUAUUGUUUCCUUUUUCCACGUCUCAACACCCUUGAAGAAUGCCUUUGUUGAUGUGCCUAUAAAGAGAGUAAUAAGCAGUACUGUGACCAUCCAAUCUGAAAAUACCACGUUGAAAGCAACACCUAUACUAAUUCCUAGCAUGAGCAUUGGCUGGAUGAGUAGAGUCAAAUCAUAGUCAAUGAUGGGCAUAUCAAUUGUAGGAUGCCUUAGCUUAAGGUUAUAGUAAACAGUUGAUGCUGCUGCACCCAUAAUCAUACAUUUAGAGAUUGCAGUUGCGGAUUUGGGAUCAAACCCAAUAAUUAGGCUUAGCAUGGGAACAAAAAUGCCACCCCCACCAACGCCCCCUACACUCCCAAAUGCUGCCCCAAAGAAUCCAACAAUAGUACCCAAAACAAUUUGCCAACCAAAUUUCAUU
Molecule: unclassified non-coding RNA, 2014 nt
Filed under: Hevea brasiliensis (rubber tree)
Lineage: Eukaryota; Viridiplantae; Streptophyta; Magnoliopsida; Malpighiales; Euphorbiaceae
Source: RNAcentral